GCAAGAGACGGGAGAAAAGAGAGGAAGAAGAAGAAGAAGAAGGGGAGGAGCAAGGGAGGAGGAAGAAGAGGGGAGCAGAGGGAGCUUCUACCCAUUUAAGGAAUAGAACUAAGAGGUGACGAGACAAUGCAGCGCGAGGCCAUCGGCUGUUCAUCAUCACCUAGGACUCGAGAUGUGAAUUCACGGAAUCAUUCAGAGAUUGUGGCUGAGGAGCCGGCCCUCUACGGUGGUGACCUCUAGGAUGAGGAGUUGGUCAUACACAAGGACGGCUGUGUAUGCGAUGAUUGUGCUUUUGGAGCACGCUGAGGAUGAGAGUAUCAUCUUCCCUUUUUAUUUUGUUUAUAUAUCAGAUGUAGCCCUAGGGGCAUAAAUGUAAUUAACAUUCCGCUACGAAAACGUUUUGGUAAAUAUGAUAAAUAUUAUUAGACUUCACCAGUUAUGUA
Molecule: long non-coding RNA, 443 nt
Organism: Macadamia integrifolia
Lineage: Eukaryota; Viridiplantae; Streptophyta; Magnoliopsida; Proteales; Proteaceae
Exons: 3
Source: RefSeq, a predicted model, not a curated record